UACUGCCUGUAAGACUGGGAUAACUCCGGGAAACCGGGGCUAAUACCGGAUGCUUGAUUGAACCGCAUGGUUCAAUCAUAAAAGGUGGCUUUUAGCUACCACUUGCAGAUGGACCCGCGGCGCAUUAGCUAGUUGGUGAGGUAACGGCUCACCAAGGCGACGAUGCGUAGCCGACCUGAGAGGGUGAUCGGCCACACUGGGACUGAGACACGGCCCAGACUCCUACGGGAGGCAGCAGUAGGGAAUCUUCCGCAAUGGACGAAAGUCUGACGGAGCAACGCCGCGUGAGUGAUGAAGGUUUUCGGAUCGUAAAACUCUGUUGUUAGGGAAGAACAAGUACCGUUCGAAUAGGGCGGCACCUUGACGGUACCUAACCAGAAAGCCACGGCUAACUACGUGCCAGCAGCCGCGGUAAUACGUAGGUGGCAAGCGUUGUCCGGAAUUAUUGGGCGUAAAGCGCGCGCAGGCGGUUUCUUAAGUCUGAUGUGAAAGCCCCCGGCUCAACCGGGGAGGGUCAUUGGAAACUGGGGAACUUGAGUGCAGAAGAGGAGAGUGGAAUUCCACGUGUAGCGGUGAAAUGCGUAGAGAUGUGGAGGAACACCAGUGGCGAAGGCGACUCUCUGGUCUGUAACUGACGCUGAGGCGCGAAAGCGUGGGGAGCGAACAGGAUUAGAUACCCUGGUAGUCCACGCCGUAAACGAUGAGUGCUAAGUGUUAGAGGGUUUCCGCCCUUUAGUGCUGCAGCAAACGCAUUAAGCACUCCGCCUGGGGAGUACGGUCGCAAGACUGAAACUCAAAGGAAUUGACGGGGGCCCGCACAAGCGGUGGAGCAUGUGGUUUAAUUCGAAGCAACGCGAAGAACCUUACCAGGUCUUGACAUCCUCUGACAACCCUAGAGAUAGGGCUUCCCCUUCGGGGGCAGAGUGACAGGUGGUGCAUGGUUGUCGUCAGCUCGUGUCGUGAGAUGUUGGGUUAAGUCCCGCAACGAGCGCAACCCUUGAUCUUAGUUGCCAGCAUUCAGUUGGGCACUCUAAGGUGACUGCCGGUGACAAACCGGAGGAAGGUGGGGAUGACGUCAAAUCAUCAUGCCCCUUAUGACCUGGGCUACACACGUGCUACAAUGGGCAGAACAAAGGGCAGCGAAGCCGCGAGGCUAAGCCAAUCCCACAAAUCUGUUCUCAGUUCGGAUCGCAGUCUGCAACUCGACUGCGUGAAGCUGGAAUCGCUAGUAAUCGCGGAUCAGCAUGCCGCGGUGAAUACGA
This 1262-nucleotide ribosomal RNA is filed under the name Bacillus licheniformis. Its description in RNAcentral is "bacterial SSU rRNA". It matches the Rfam family "Bacterial small subunit ribosomal RNA", at positions 124 to 1371 of the family's 1533-position model. The record is from RNAcentral. Lineage: Bacteria; Bacillati; Bacillota; Bacilli; Caryophanales; Bacillaceae.